AUAACCUUCAUGUAAAAUUAGCUGUAGAUUAGUUGUAUGCAUGUGUCAAGGUAGCUACACGAUCACCUCUCAUGCACAGUAAUUAGUAUGCAACUGACAAACCCUGACCUCUUCCAGUCCGUCGUUACGCCACAGGGAGGGCAGCCCUCGGUUGGCUGACUGAAGCGCGUUCCACUCUUCCUCCAUCACCUCCUGGACGAAAACAGAGCCCUUGGCGCUGCAGUGUUGACCAUCUCCCAUCUGACGGUACUUCUCCAGUAACCUGGAUCGGCUGUUCUUCAACCUGUCCACGCAACGCUGAGGAACAAACAAAAAAAGUUAAUCAAAACAAGUUACACUUCAUGAACUAAAGCUUUGACAUUAACUCGGUGAGCCACCAGAUGAGGAGGGCCGACAUCGGAGGAUACGGUGAAUUGAGCCCAGCAGAUGAGGAGGCCGACAUCGGAGGAUACGGUGAAUUGAGACGUAGCCCAGCAGAUGUGGAGGGCCGACAUCGGAGGAUACUGUGAAUUGAGCCCAGCAGAUGAAGAGGGCCGACAUCGGAGGAUACGACACAGUCCAGGAGGAUAACUCACAUCUCUGCUGAGCAGAAGAGACGUUUCAACAUCAAGCUAGGCUUUGAUAGUCUGCCGAGUCUCGUUACCACGAUGAGCUCUCAGCCAUGUAUAAAGUGUGUUUCAGCUGCAGCUGUCCGUCACCUGCCAACGCUUUGACCACAUGAGGGAGAAGUUCAGAGAGUACGUCCGGGCACGGACUCAACAGAACUGGUGGUUCUGUAUCGUAACACACCUCCAGGCUGUGUAAGGGCUAUAUGACCAAGGAGAGUGAUGGAGUGCUGCAUCAGAUGACCUGGCCUCCACAA
Molecule: long non-coding RNA, 862 nt
Organism: Oncorhynchus gorbuscha (pink salmon)
Lineage: Eukaryota; Metazoa; Chordata; Actinopteri; Salmoniformes; Salmonidae
Exons: 4
Source: RefSeq, a predicted model, not a curated record